CACGGGGGUUGCGGGCGUUGUCCGGAAUUACUAGGCGUAAAGGGCAGGCAGGCGGAUCCAUAAGUUUAUCGUUUAAGGCGUCGGCUUAACCGGCGUAGGGCGGUAGAUACUGUGGAUCUGGAAUGCGGUUGGGGAAGACAGAAUUCCUGGUGUAGCGGUGGAAUGCGCAGAGAUCAGGAGGAAUACCGAAGGCGAAGGCAGUCUUCCAAGCCGUUAUUGACGCUCAACUGCGAAGGUGUGGGUAUCAAACAGGAUUAGAUACCCGCGUAGUCCCUGAGCGGG
This 282-nucleotide ribosomal RNA is filed under the name uncultured prokaryote. RNAcentral describes it as "partial 16S ribosomal RNA". It matches the Rfam family "Bacterial small subunit ribosomal RNA", at positions 524 to 803 of the family's 1533-position model. The record is from RNAcentral.